UACGGGAGGCAGCAGUGGGGAAUAUUGCACAAUGGGCGCAAGCCUGAUGCAGCCAUGCCGCGUGUAUGAAGAAGGCCUUCGGGUUGUAAAGUACUUUCAGCGGGGAGGAAGGCGAUGCGGUUAAUAACCGCGUCGAUUGACGUUACCCGCAGAAGAAGCACCGGCUAACUCCGUGCCAGCAGCCGCGGUAAUACGGAGGGUGCAAGCGUUAAUCGGAAUUACUGGGCGUAAAGCGCACGCAGGCGGUCUGUUUAAGUCAGAUGUGAAAUCCCCGGGCUUAACCUGGGAACUGCAUUUUGAAACUGGCAGGCUUGAGUCUUGUAGAGGGGGUAGAAUUCCAGGUGUAGCGGUGAAAUGCGUAGAGAUCUGGAGGAAUACCGGUGGCGAAGGCGGCCCCUGGGACAAGACUGACGCUCAGGUGCGAAAGCGUGGGGAGCAAACGAGGAUUAGGAUACC
This 456-nucleotide ribosomal RNA is filed under the name uncultured bacterium. RNAcentral's name for it is "bacterial SSU rRNA". It matches the Rfam family "Bacterial small subunit ribosomal RNA", at positions 340 to 786 of the family's 1533-position model. The record is from RNAcentral.